Drosophila novamexicana is the source of this 303-nucleotide long non-coding RNA. RefSeq lists it as uncharacterized. Lineage: Eukaryota; Metazoa; Arthropoda; Insecta; Diptera; Drosophilidae. The record is from RefSeq and is a predicted model, not a curated record. The transcript is spliced from 3 exons.
UAGAGAGAAACAAUGGGAGUGACGGUUGAAGAGCCAGAUACAAAGAGAGGGGGACUAGGAAAGAGUGAUAAAUUAUUUGUCAAUCGAAUAAUAAGAAAUAUAUUGCCAAUGGAAAGUCAAGGACAUAUCAGCUCGUGAACUCAUGCGAAUCGGAAAAAAGACCGCCAGAUUAAGGACUAUAAGGACCUCUAAGGACCUCCACGAGUGACAAAGCAGAUUUCUUAAGGAUCGGACUUAAUUAAGGCCAGAUUUAGUUAAUUUAAGUUUAAAUAAGCUAAAAUUAUAAAUUAUGCUCGUUUUGUA